CUGCACAGCAGGUGUUCCUGUGUCCCUGCCCUUGAACAGAGCAGACUGUCUCGGGGAAGCCGCUUUCUUGGAGAAACGCAAUUUCUUUAGCUUCCCAGUCAUCUUUGGUUCCCUGGUCACAUCAGCUUUUCCAGGGAGCUUACUGCUGCCCUGGAGCCUGGAGGACGCUUGGACCUUCGUGAUGGAAGAAAACCCCACCUUUGCCCUUGAGAUCCAGGCCAGCCUCAAGAUGGCCAAGAAAAUGAUCUGCAAUUAGUGAGACAGGCUCAGAACUGCUGAUAGCUCAUGGUGUCUGCGCCAAGCCAGCGCUGAGAAUGGUGGACCAGCAGAGCUGUAUUACCAGCACCACAAGGCCUCCAGAGAGGCCCAAGGAGCAGAAGGUGAGGAGUGGAGAAUGCACAGAUCACUUACCUGUUCCAGCCUGGGGGAUUGAAUUGGAGAAUUUCUUGAACUUGGCAAUGAAGAAACCAUCCAUAUUGUGGGUGUGAGGGUAGAAACGCCGAGUGGAGCGCAGAGUGGGGUGAAACCGUCUUUCUCGAAAACGGGGGGACAGACGCAGCCAGCAAGGAGUCACUGGAGCUGAAGCUGUGAACAGCCCGGGCCGCACCUCCCACCUCGCCCUCCCCUGCGCUGACUCAGCACUGGCCUCACCAUGACAGAGCAGGUGCAGUACACGAGGUAGCCACCCGUCUUGGAGGUGGCGUUGACAGAGUCGAUGGCGCUGAGGAGCAGCUCUUUCUGCAGGUGGGCACAGCGCAGGACGUCCUUCUCAUCCUGUCCCAAGGAGAACCCAUGACUUCAUCUGCCCCAGAGCUCUUCUCUGCCUCACACCCCCAGCCCAAGCCCCCCCAACAGCUGUCCCCCCAUCCACACCUUAUUCGUCUUCACAGCGGGGUCCUUGGAGAUGAUCCCAGUGCCACUGCAGGGAGCAUCCAACAGGACACGGUCAAAGCCACCUACUACCUGUGGAAAGGGGAAGGUCAGCCCCAUCGCUACUGCCACCUGCAGAGCAGCACUUUACUGCAGUCACAGGGGAACGUCCCACCUUAGGGAACUGGCGCCCAUCGUAAUGGCUGAUAAUGGCGUUGGUGACUCCCAGCCGGUGCAGGUUGCCCACAACGCUCUUGAGUCGCUCGGCAUUGGCAUCGUUGGCAAGGAUCACACCCGUGUUCUUCAUCAGCUGGGCUGGAGGGAGACGCCAGAGCUGAGCGCCAGAGCUGAGCAACCUACCCCCGGGCUCACCACCUCCAGCCCAGGAGCCCACAGGCGAAGUCACCUCCCUGCAGCACAACUUCACCCCAACAAGCCCUGCUCCCUCCUGCACAGGUCUGCCGGCCUGCUCCAACCCACUCACUUGUGAACAUCCUUCUGGCCGCACAGACUAAAUCACUGCUGUUAAGUGACACCACCUCAUAAAACCAUUCACUGCUUAUUAUGUAUUCGACACUGUGCCAAGGACAACAGUUUUGGGUCUGUUUUUUGGAGAUAGGGUUUCACUGUAGCUCAGGCUGGCCUUAAAUUUGCUGUGUGGCCCAGGCGGGCCUCAAACCCAGUGACACUCCUGCCUCAGCCUCCUGAGUGCUGGUAUUACAAGUGUGUGUGACCACACCCAGUUGGUUCCAAGGACUUCUAAACACAGUGUCAAUCCGCACAACCCUCGUGUAACCUAACAGCCAGCUCAGCACAGCUCCAACCCCACUUCAGGGAUAAAAGAGAAUGAGAGGCGCACACGGGUCAGAUGGGUAGUAAGUGGCACAGCUGGCCCUGGAGCCCAGACCAACUCCAGAAACUGCUCCGAUAUUACCGCUCUGCCAGCUGACUGGUGCUCACGGAGAGCGCCAUCAGCACUAGGCAUCACCAACCCCCGCUACUUUCAAAGGCAGAGAGCCAGAAGAAGGCCACCCUGUCUGUGCGCCUACCUAUGUAGCUGGUUUUCCCUCCAGGUGCACAGCACAUGUCCAGGAUCCACUCGUGUUCCUGGGGUGCCAAGGCCAUGACAGGCAGCAUGCUGGAGGCUCCCUGCAGCAUGUAGUGCCCGGCCAGGUACUCAGGAGUGGCCCCUGUGGGGGGAAGGCCACUCUGUGACAUGCUGGUGGAAUAAGGACACGGAGCGGAGGGCUACUGGGCAGGCGACACUUACCAAUAGGCACCGAAGAAUCAUACACCACAAGUCCAGUCUUGGACCACUUGCCCAAGGGAUCCAGGUUAACCCCACGAUUGAUCAGUGCCUGGGGGAGGGAGAUUGGAAAGCCUCAUAGGACACGCGACCCAGGAGCUGGGGGAGACCCGAAACCAGGCCCACCAGCAACCCCACGACACCCCACUCCCAGUGCCCGCCCAGAACAGCCACCCCGGACUUCCCCCUCCUCACCUGGCCUGUGAUACCCUCUUUCCCAUCCCCUUUCUGCAGUGCUAGAGCUGGAAUCCAGGGCCCCGUGCGUCCUAGGCAAGCGCCCUACCGCUGAGCCACUCUUAGGCCCUGCCCUUUCUUCUCAACCUCAGGCUCUUGACUCAAGAUCUAAGUCCUACCCCAAAGGAUCAAAAUGCCCUGUCCUGUUUUUUCAUUUUCUGG
This is a non-coding RNA of Heterocephalus glaber (naked mole-rat), 2572 nucleotides long. NCBI's taxonomy places the organism in Eukaryota, Metazoa, Chordata, Mammalia, Rodentia, Bathyergidae. The record is from RefSeq and is a predicted model, not a curated record.